Stegodyphus mimosarum is the source of this 73-nucleotide non-coding RNA. The record is from Rfam. Lineage: Eukaryota; Metazoa; Arthropoda; Arachnida; Araneae; Eresidae.
GUCUUCAUGGUGUAGUGGUCAGCAUACUCGACGCGUGACCGAGAAGUCCGUGGUUCGAUUCCCGGCCAAGGCG